Molecule: RNA transcript, 2649 nt
Organism: Pseudopipra pipra
Lineage: Eukaryota; Metazoa; Chordata; Aves; Passeriformes; Pipridae
Gene: CD160
Gene name: CD160 molecule
Exons: 6
Source: RefSeq, a predicted model, not a curated record
AUGGUUUAAGGUCUUGGUGUGGGCCUUCAGUCGCCUUAGGUUGAAAAGGCUUCCAUCAGUACGGUAUCAAAUGUAGAUACCAUCCUGAUCCUCGAGGUCUGCCGUGGCCCUUUGGAGCAUCCUGCUGAAAAAGAUUGUGAAUAGGGUAGGAGCGAGAACGCAGCCUUGUUUCACACCAUUAGUUAUUAGGAAGGGCUCAGAAAGUGCAUUGCCAUAUCUGACUUGGCCAUGCUGAUCCUCAUGGAGCGAGAUGAUAAUUUUGAGGAACUUGGGGGGACAACCUAAACAUUCCAAAAUCUGCCAUAGACCUUUUCUGCUCACAGUAUCGAAAGCCUUGGUGAGGUCAACAAAGGUUACAUAGAGACCUUUGUUCUGUUCCCUACACUUCUCUUGCAGUUGUCUGAGAACAAACACCAUGUCUGUGGUACUCCUGCUGGCUCUGAAACCACAUUGGCUUUCAGGUAGAAUUACUGGGUCAUCAGGAGAGGAAAUGUUAGCUCAGCUAACAGUGCCUUAGUAAAAGCCAACAAAAUCUCCUGGUCCUGGGAAGCUGACCCAUAACUGAAAGUUUCACACCAGAAAGUGUGUGGGGACUCUUUUAGAACACCAAUGAAGAGAUGAAAGAUAAGAAUGCAUGAAGAAUAGAUAUUGUAGUUAAAAUAACACAGAAACCAACCAUACAUUCAACUUCCUGCAAGUGCAGCCUACGCAGGAAUUCCUAUGAAGUAGAGAAAAGUACAGAUAAAUGCUUGGUUGUCAUUUUCAAUCCCCCCACUUUGCUGUCCUUCCCUGCCAACAAGAAGAUCAGAUCAUACCCAAAAGAAGUGAUUGAGCUCACACAAGUACACAGGACACAAGCACAUAGGUUACAAGCACUGGGCAAUGUGGAACAAGCAGAAGUCCUUCCCUGGCUAAAUUGGGGGGGGGGGGGGGAACACCAAUCCACAAGAAAACAAAAUUCAAAUUUUUUUUUUUUUUAUUUUUAGCUAUUUUUGAAUCUCAGAAUCUCUCAAGGCCACCUACCCUUUUGGAAAAUGGAGGCCCAGCAAACCCCUCUCGAUUUUCUCCUUCCCAGCAGCGUGCCAUUUUCCACUUGCUGUCCUGGCACUUAGGGGUGUUACUGGGAAAAAAGGAAAAUCUAUAUUUUGAAGGAAAGAAUGAAGCUCUCCUGCCUCUAAUGUUGGUCUGAAAGAGGAAGAUAUUGUGUGCAGAAGAUGACUCUGAUCCCAGAGUUCCUCGCUAAGGCGGGAGGCAGUCCUGUCCUUGUGUUCCAAAUGGCAGCUCUGGCAAUGCUGGUAUCAGAACACAGCAUGCUGGAAAUCAUUUAUGCACCUACCACGGAGUACCUGGAGGAAGGCAAGACCCUGAGUUUGAACUGCCUCAUCAGGCACCAGCAGAAUGAAUCGUCACAAAUUGAGGCUCACUGGUAUAAAAGAGCAGAUAAGCAAAACGAGACUGGGUUUGGGGAGGAGGUGGAAAGCUUGCACCUUUCACAAAACUCGGACCCCAGGGUGAGAGUCACAUCCUCGCUGCUGCUGCAGGUUCAGAAAGUCAACCAGUCAGACAGCGGCCGCUACCAGUGCAGGGCCAAAAUAAAGAACACUGUCCUCACUGCUGUGGGCCACUUCAUCAGGGUGAAUGUAACAGGUGUGAACAUUGUCAAUUCCACAGAGAGGACAGAGGUUGACCUGGAAGAGAACAAAGCUCUAAGGGUGGAUUCUGGGCUGGAGAAAAUGUGGGCUGUGGUUACAAUAUCCUGGAUAAUUGUGUGUGUCAAAGGACUCAUACUGUGAAGACCCUGUGAAGUCUGAGCUGCUUUGCUUAAACAAGCUAAUGUUCCUGAGAUGCUUGCUGUGCCUCAGCUUUUCACACAGCACCUUUGGACACCGAAUAAGGAGCCCAAAGUCCUGGUGUGCAUGUUCUCCCAGCCUGGAGAAGCUCUGCCACCCCACCUUCAGGAGCUUCCCCGCUGGGCUCUAUUUUAAGCCACGCUGGGGAGGUGAGAAAAUGAAGAUCUUUUAUCAGCAAGCCCACGGUCCCACGACAGUAUUAACUUUUGUAGGAGAUGACCCGACUUCGAGUUGUGUUUUCCACCUGCAGAACACUCGCCUAUAACGAAGUGGGGGCAGUUUGGGCAGCACAAACCUGAACGAGGACGUGUCGUAGGACUUCCCCUGGCAACUCCACUCCUCUGCAUCCUCCUCCCUUGCGUCGAGAGUAAAGUCUGCCAGUAGUGCUGGUAACCAGGGGAGAAAGGAGGUGAGAAGUUUCACUGGAAACCACUGUGGGGAAUAUUUCUAAACCACUGACUGAUGCAGAGUGUUAACUGGCUCGUGAGAAAGGGAGCUUGUGACAGCAAAGAAGCCUGCAUGGGGAGGAAGGAAACAGGUAAAGCACAAGCAUCCCCUUACGUUUAUUACACUGCACCAAAAGAGUGUAGGCAGUGCUAAAUGGCAUCCUGACUCUGGUGUCAUGACUUUAGUUGGCAUUUGAGAGGUGGGAUGUGUAGCUUUUUCCAGUAUAGAUGUGGGUUUCUAUUUCAGGUAUGCUUUGUUACACAACCAAUUUGUUCAGCUUACCAAAAAAACCCCCCCCAAAAAUAAAAAAAAAAAUUACAGAAAUGGAAGCCACUGAAAGAAAACUAUUGAC